AUGCCCACACAAAAGGUCCCAGCUGCACCGCAAGCUUCUGUCCCACUGUCCCCAGCUCAGAGUGAAGCAGAAACUCGAAGCAGACGGUGCUCCCCAAAAGCAGUGCCCCAAAAGAUGCUGGGGCAGGCGCCAUGGGCAAGGCUGUCUCCUUCUGUCCCUGCCGUCCUGCUGCUGGCACUCUGUGGCAGCAUGACCUCCCAGGACAUCUGCAGCUCCUCAGGGGAUCUCCUGGCUCCUGCUCUCCAAAUGAACUCAAGUUCUGCUCAGCCAGGUACCACAGUUUUGCUCCAGUGUAUUCUCCCUGUGGUGUCAUCCGUAAUAAGAAUCAUCAUCUGCAAGGAUGGCAAGCAGCUGUACAGCGAGAAAGCCCAUCAAGAGCAGCUGAGCUACUCUGUGGUCUUGAACAUCACGUCAAGAAGCGCAGGAAGAUAUACAUGUGGGUACCAGCAGAGGAAUGAGAUGAAACAGAGGAGGAGCUCUGCCCUCAGUGCUGGCCGCAUCCUGAAUGUCCCAGGCAAUGUGGCGAGUUCCCCAGCAAGUCCAUCACCCCCAGCUCCCCAUGCCCGGAUCCUACACACCCUCCCCAUAGGCAUGGUGGUAGCAGUGGCAGCCGUCGGCCUCAUCCUCCUGGCUGCAGGCAGCUGGUUUGCCAUCAGGAAAGGUGCCUGCAGAGGGAGAUGCCCAAGGCAACAGCACGUUGACAGCCCACAGAUGGAAACAACUGACUCUGGAGAAGUCACAUGUGAGUACUACCUCCUCCCACAUGGGAAGCCACAUGCCCAUCUCACCAUGGGCAUCCAGUGCAACUGUACAUGCAAUCCCACCCCUUCAUUUCCCACUGGGAAAUACAAAAUCCCUGCCCGUUCAUCAAGAGCAAGUUUCUCUCCAGCACCUCACAUCCUCCUUCUUCCUUGCAUGCAGAGUGUGCGAGGCUGCUGGCUACACAAGGGACAUGGAAGCAUCCCAGUGCUCCCAG
Molecule: long non-coding RNA, 976 nt
Filed under: Anas platyrhynchos platyrhynchos (common mallard)
Lineage: Eukaryota; Metazoa; Chordata; Aves; Anseriformes; Anatidae
Description: lncRNA (ENSAPLG00000028451.1)
Source: RNAcentral